UACGAAGGGGGCAAGCGUUGUUCGGAAUUACUGGGCGUAAAGGGCGCGUAGGCGGUGCGUUAAGUUAGGCGUGAAAGCCCUGGGCUCAACCCGGGAACUGCGCUUGAUACUGGCGCGCUUGAAUCCAGGAGAGGUUGGUGGAAUUCCCAGUGUAGAGGUGAAAUUCGUAGAGAUUGGGAAGAACACCGGUGGCGAAGGCGGCCAACUGGACUGGUAUUGACGCUGAGGCGCGAAAGCGUGGGGAGCAAACAGG
This 253-nucleotide ribosomal RNA is filed under the name uncultured bacterium. RNAcentral describes it as "partial 16S ribosomal RNA". It matches the Rfam family "Bacterial small subunit ribosomal RNA", at positions 524 to 776 of the family's 1533-position model. The record is from RNAcentral.